This 201-nucleotide long non-coding RNA is filed under the name Elaeis guineensis (African oil palm). Its description in RNAcentral is "long non-coding RNA (EGUI_LNC032950)". The record is from RNAcentral. Lineage: Eukaryota; Viridiplantae; Streptophyta; Magnoliopsida; Arecales; Arecaceae.
GGGCUAAAUCAAUUACUAAAAAUUAUUUGAUAAAAUAAUUGGUUAAUGAACCUAUCCAUGAAUGCAUAUGGGUGAGCUGGCUAAAGUCGAACUUGUGUGCAGUUUGUGUGGAUUCUAUUACCCGCUAAGGAAUUAAAAUAAUUCUUCGAGUUGGAGGUAGAGGCUAUCAAUUCAUAUAAAAUAGUAAAAGAACUUUUAGAC